This 286-nucleotide unclassified non-coding RNA is filed under the name uncultured fungus. Its description in RNAcentral is "partial contains 18S rRNA, ITS1, 5.8S rRNA, ITS2 and 28S rRNA". Lineage: Eukaryota; Fungi. The record is from RNAcentral.
AAGGAUCAUUAACACGUUUUACAACGUAUCAACCAAACCGCGAACUUGACGUUUUGCCAUGUUUCGGAAGCUUUUUGCACGUGUUGUUGUUCAUGCUGUCAGAGUCACUUCAUUGCUGGCCGGCGACAGUAUGAGUGUGCAGCUUCGUGGCAUUCUCUUCCUUAACAUGUAUAUUUACCCAAACCCAUUUCUUAUUGAUUAUUCUGUGCUAAAGGACGUGCCGUUUAUCGGUAUUGUCUUUUAUUACAAACUUGUACAACUCUUAGCAACGGAUAUCUUGGUUUCC